GUAGGUGGCAAGCGUUGUCCGGAAUUAUUGGGCGUAAAGCGCGCGCAGGCGGUCCUUUAAGUCUGAUGUGAAAGCCCACGGCUCAACCGUGGAGGGUCAUUGGAAACUGGGGGACCUGAGUACAGAAGAGGAAAGCGGAAUUCCAAGUGUAGCGGUGAAAUGCGUAGAGAUUUGGAGGAACACCAGUGGCGAAGGCGGCUUUCUGGUCUGUAACUGACGCUGAGGCGCGAAAGCGUGGGGAGCAAACAGGGAUUAGAUACCCUGGUAGUCCACGCCGUAAACGAUGAGUGCUAAGUGUUAGGGGGGUUUCCGCCCCCGUUAGUGCUGCAGCUAACGCAUUAAGCACUCCGCCUGGGGAGUACGGCCGCAAGGCUG
This 375-nucleotide ribosomal RNA is filed under the name uncultured organism. RNAcentral's name for it is "partial 16S ribosomal RNA". It matches the Rfam family "Bacterial small subunit ribosomal RNA", at positions 527 to 896 of the family's 1533-position model. The record is from RNAcentral.